This 635-nucleotide long non-coding RNA is filed under the name Homo sapiens (human). RNAcentral's name for it is "non-protein coding lnc-ADAMTS15-3:1". The record is from RNAcentral. Lineage: Eukaryota; Metazoa; Chordata; Mammalia; Primates; Hominidae.
UUACUGUUUGAGUAUUCACUGCCCUAACUACAUUCUUUUACAUACUCUUGCAAAGCUCUAGCACCUUUAAGGAAAUACAUGAUCCUUCUUUUGCGCUAGGUUGACAUCCUGGUAAAAAUUCUUUUGUGACAUACACGUAUUUUAGGUAUAAUAUUCAAUCAUAUGGAUAUAUUGAAGUUUAAUAAAUCCCCUAACAUCAGAUAUUUAAAAGUUUCCUACUUUUUAUUAUGAAUUAUGCUGCAAUGAAUAUUUUUGCACAUAUGUAUGUCUUUAUGUAUGUCUCCAAUAAUUUCCUAAGGAUAUAUUUCUACAAGUGGGAGUGCUAUGUCAAAGGGUGUGCAUAUUAAGGUUUUUGCAAUUGGCUGCCAAAUUGCUCUCUGGAAAGGCUCCACUGGUCUGCUUUUCCUUCCAUCAGCCACAGCCGGGAAUGCCUGCUUCUCGCCAUGGUCACCAGCACUGCGUCCUUGCUUCCUUUGGAAUCUUUACAGAUUUUAAUUACCCCCAAAAUCAUAUCUUACUGAAGUUUUAGUUUUCACGUCUUUGCUUCCCAUCGAGGCUGAGCUUUUAAAUAAAUUUUUGGCAGUGCAAAUUUCUUUUGCUAGCUGCCUAUUUUGUCACCAUAUUAUUUUCAAAUU